RNAcentral lists this ribosomal RNA (330 nucleotides) under uncultured eukaryote. RNAcentral describes it as "partial 18S ribosomal RNA". It matches the Rfam family "Eukaryotic small subunit ribosomal RNA", at positions 1470 to 1796 of the family's 1831-position model. The record is from RNAcentral.
CCCUUAGAUGUUCUGGGCCGCACGCGCGCUACACUGACGAAGUCAGCGAGCAUCUCCUACGCCGAAAGGUGCGGGGAAUCUUGUGAAACUUUGUCGUGCUGGGGAUUGAUUUUUGAAAUUCUUGAUCAUCAACGAGGAAUUCCUAGUAAGCGCAAGUCAGCAGCUUGCGUUGAUUACGUCCCUGCCCUUUGUACGCACCGCCCGUCGCUACUACCGAUUGAAUGGUUUAGUGAGAUUUUUGGACUGGAACUCUCUUGUUCAGCAAUGAACGAGAGGGACUCUGGGAAGCUAUUCUAACUGUAUCAUUUAGAGGAAGUAAAAGUCGUAACA